GUACUCGCUUUGGCAGCACAUAUACUAAAAAUUGGAACCACAGAGAAGAGUAGCAUGGCCCCUGCCCAAGGAUGACAUGCAAAUUCGUGAAGCGUUCCAUAUUUUU
This 106-nucleotide small nuclear RNA is filed under the name Myotis brandtii (Brandt's bat). The record is from RNAcentral. Lineage: Eukaryota; Metazoa; Chordata; Mammalia; Chiroptera; Vespertilionidae.